This 498-nucleotide ribosomal RNA is filed under the name uncultured bacterium. Its description in RNAcentral is "partial 16S ribosomal RNA". It matches the Rfam family "Bacterial small subunit ribosomal RNA", at positions 30 to 523 of the family's 1533-position model. The record is from RNAcentral.
AUUGAACGCUGGCGGCAUGCUUUACACAUGCAAGUCGAACGGUAACAGGCCGCAAGGUGCUGACGAGUGGCGAACGGGUGAGUAAUGCAUCGGAACGUGCCCAGUCGUGGGGGAUAACGCAGCGAAAGCUGUGCUAAUACCGCAUACGAUCUAUGGAUGAAAGCGGGGGACCGUAAGGCCUCGCGCGAUUGGAGCGGCCGAUGUCAGAUUAGGUAGUUGGUGGGGUAAAGGCUCACCAAGCCAACGAUCUGUAGCUGGUCUGAGAGGACGACCAGCCACACUGGGACUGAGACACGGCCCAGACUCCUACGGGAGGCAGCAGUGGGGAAUUUUGGACAAUGGGCGCAAGCCUGAUUCAGCAAUGCCGCGUGCAGGAAGAAGGCCUUCGGGUUGUAAACUGCUUUUGUACGGAACGAAAAGGUUUGGGUUAAUACCCUGGGCCGAUGACGGUACCGUAAGAAUAAGCACCGGCUAACUACGUGCCAGCCGCCGCCGUGA